This 291-nucleotide ribosomal RNA is filed under the name uncultured bacterium. Its description in RNAcentral is "partial 16S ribosomal RNA". It matches the Rfam family "Bacterial small subunit ribosomal RNA", at positions 505 to 796 of the family's 1533-position model. The record is from RNAcentral.
GUGCCAGCAGCCGCGGUAAUACGUAGGGGGCGAGCGUUGUCCGGAUUCAUUGGGCGUAAAGCGCGUGUAGGCGGUUUGGUAGGUCUCGUGUCAAAUCCUGCGGCUCAACCGCAGUCCGCACGGGAAACCACCUUACUAGAGUCCGGAAGAGGAGAGCGGAAUUCCAGGUGUAGCGGUGAAAUGCGCAGAUAUCUGGAAGAACACCAGUGGCGAAGGCGGCUCUCUGGGACGGUACUGACGCUGAGACGCGAAAGCGUGGGGAGCGAACAGGAUUAGAAACCCCAGUAGUCC